RNAcentral lists this ribosomal RNA (320 nucleotides) under Mecistocephalus guildingii. RNAcentral's name for it is "eukaryotic LSU rRNA". It matches the Rfam family "Eukaryotic large subunit ribosomal RNA", at positions 666 to 946 of the family's 3401-position model. Lineage: Eukaryota; Metazoa; Arthropoda; Chilopoda; Geophilomorpha; Mecistocephalidae. The record is from RNAcentral.
CCAAGGAGUCUAACAUGUGCGCAAGUCAUGAGGUUCUUGUAAAAAAGAGACCCGAUGGCGAAAUGAAAGUAAAGGUGUCAUUUGAUGACAUUAAGGCGAGACCAAACGAAAGAAAUUGAGUUUGUGCAUCGCUGGCCCGUCUCAACCGCUAACGUCGGUAAGGCGGAGCUUGAGCGCACACGUUGGGACCCGAAAGAUGGUGAACUAUGCCUGUACAGGACGAAGCCAGAGGAAACUCUGGUGGAGGUCCGUAGCGAUUCUGACGUGCAAAUCGAUCGUCUGAUAUAGGUAUAGGGGCGAAAGACUAAUCGAACCAUCUA